This 792-nucleotide ribosomal RNA is filed under the name uncultured bacterium. RNAcentral describes it as "bacterial SSU rRNA". It matches the Rfam family "Bacterial small subunit ribosomal RNA", at positions 8 to 796 of the family's 1533-position model. The record is from RNAcentral.
AGAGUUUGAUCAUGGCUCAGGAUGAACGCUAGCGGCAGGCCUAAUACAUGCAAGUCGAACGAUAGUUAGGAGCUUGCUCCUAACGAAAAGUGGCGCACGGGUGCGUAACGCGUAUGCAACCUACCUUAAUCAGGGGGAUAGCCCGAAGAAAUUCGGAUUAACACCGCAUAAAAUCACAGUAUAGCAUUAUACAAUGAUCAAAUAUUUAUAGGAUUAAGAUGGGCAUGCGUGACAUUAGUUAGUUGGCGAGGUAACGGCUCACCAAGACUACGAUGUCUAGGGGAUCUGAGAGGAUGACCCCCCACACUGGUACUGAGACACGGACCAGACUCCUACGGGAGGCAGCAGUAAGGAAUAUUGGUCAAUGGAGGCAACUCUGAACCAGCCAUGCCGCGUGCAGGAAGACAGCCCUCUGGGUCGUAAGCUGCUUUUAUUCGGGAAUAAUUGCAUCUACGUGUAGAUGUUUGAAUGUACCGAAGGAAUAAGGAUCGGCUAACUCCGUGCCAGCAGCCGCGGUAAUACGGAGGAUCCAAGCGUUAUCCGGAUUUAUUGGGUUUAAAGGGUGCGUAGGCGGCUUAUUAAGUCAGGGGUGAAAGACGGUGGCUCAACCAUCGCAGUGCCUUUGAUACUGAUGAGCUUGAAUAUACUAGAGGUAGGCGGAAUGUGACAAGUAGCGGUGAAAUGCAUAGAUAUGUCACAGAACACCGAUUGCGAAGGCAGCUUACUAUGGUAUUAUUGACGCUGAGGCACGAAAGCGUGGGGAUCAAACAGGAUUAGAUACCCUAGUAGUCC